GUACCGUGAGGGAAAGGCGAAAAGAACCCCGGCGAGGGGAGUGAAAAAGAACCUGAAACCGUGUACGUACAAGCAGUGGGAGCACAGAGCAAUCUGUGUGACUGCGUACCUUUUGUAUAAUGGGUCAGCGACUUAUAUUCUGUAGCAAGGUUAACCGAAUAGGGGAGCCGAAGGGAAACCGAGUCUUAACUGGGCGUUAAGUUGCAGGGUAUAGACCCGAAACCCGGUGAUCUAGCCAUGGGCAGGUUGAAGGUUGGGUAACACUAACUGGAGGACCGAACCGACUAAUGUUGAAAAAUUAGCGGAUGACUUGUGGCUGGGGGUGAAAGGCCAAUCAAACCGGGAGAUAGCUGGUUCUCCCCGAAAGCUAUUUAGGUAGCGCCUCGUGAAUUCAUCUCCGGGGGUAGAGCACUGUUUCGGCAAGGGGGUCAUCCCGACUUACCAACCCGAUGCAAACUGCGAAUACCGGAGAAUGUUAUCACGGGAGACACACGGCGGGUGCUAACGUCCGUCGUGAAGAGGGAAACAACCCAGACCGCCAGCUAAGGUCCCAAAGUCAUGGUUAAGUGGGAAACGAUGUGGGAAGGCCCAGACAGCCAGGAUGUUGGCUUAGAAGCAGCCAUCAUUUAAAGAAAGCGUAAUAG
Molecule: ribosomal RNA, 644 nt
Filed under: Escherichia coli
Lineage: Bacteria; Pseudomonadati; Pseudomonadota; Gammaproteobacteria; Enterobacterales; Enterobacteriaceae
Description: partial 23S ribosomal RNA
Rfam family: Bacterial large subunit ribosomal RNA
Source: RNAcentral